Long non-coding RNA from Equus quagga, 753 nucleotides. RefSeq lists it as uncharacterized. The record is from RefSeq and is a predicted model, not a curated record. The transcript is spliced from 2 exons. NCBI's taxonomy places the organism in Eukaryota, Metazoa, Chordata, Mammalia, Perissodactyla, Equidae.
GCCCGGGAUAAAAGGGGCUGGGGCCAGAGCACCUCCAUCCACUCCCUCCUGAGGAGCUGACGGACCCUGUGCUGCUUGUGCGUGACUCCUGAACAUCCACCUGCCGACAUGUCCUGCCAGCAGAGCCAGCAGCAGUGCCAGCCCCCUCCCAAGUGUCCCACCCCUAAAUGUCCCCCGAAGUGUCCUCCAAAGUGCCCUCCAGUCUCUUCCUGCUGUGGUGUCAGCUCUGGGGGCUGCUGUGGUCCCAGCUCGGGGGGCUGCUGCAGCUCUGGUGGUGGUGGCUGCUGCAGCUCUGGGGUAGGCGGCUGCUGCCUGAGCCACCACAGGCGCCGCAGGUCCCACCGCCGCAGACACCAGAGCUCUGACUGCUGCAGCCAGCCCUCGGGGGGCUCCAGCUGCUGCGGAGGGGGGAGCGGGCAGUCUUCUGGAAGCUGCUGCUGAAGUGGACCCUGAGCCAAGAAGAGCUAACUUAGAGGCAACAAAUGGCCAAACACUUCCUCCUCCCCCUGCUCCUCCUGGGCUUGCCUGAGUGGCUGAGAUGUCCCAUUACAGGUUCUGAGCUCUCAGCUAGAGGGUCUCUCUGCCCCAGGAUUCAGAAGCCUGAAUCCCCUCCCAGAAAUCUAUCUGCUGACCUCUGACAUCAACUGUGUUGUCUCCCGUGGGACCCCAGACCGCAGACUCUAACUCCCUCCUCAGCCAGUUGCCUUGCAAUCUGCAACCUCAAAUGAAUCAAUAAAACAAGGAAUCUGCUCA